GGUCGCUCAUGCAAGUCAGCCCUUAUUGAAGGAGGAGACAGCCCCGGGACCAGUUCCCAGAGCCCCAAGCACCGCCUGACACAUCAUGCAGGGCUCACUGCCAUCUCUUCUCACCAGAACAAGGCGCCUCGCCUUGGUUUGUUCCCUGCUGUCUCCCCGUUGCUGAAUGAAUGAAAGCGCAUCGAGGAGGUGAUAAAGCGGUGAGCUGGCCUUUUCCUUUGGAGAUGUCCAAGCAUUACAUCAGGGAUCUCCUUCCUGGGGCUAAGUUAUUUCUCUAAUAAAGACACGAGUCACGCUCUGUGUUAGCUGGA
Suricata suricatta (meerkat) is the source of this 311-nucleotide long non-coding RNA. RefSeq lists it as uncharacterized. The transcript is spliced from 2 exons. The record is from RefSeq and is a predicted model, not a curated record. Lineage: Eukaryota; Metazoa; Chordata; Mammalia; Carnivora; Herpestidae.